UUGACCUCAAAUCAGGUAGGACUACCCGCUGAACUUAAGCAUAUCAAUAAGCGGAGGAAAAGAAACUAACAAGGAUUCCCCUAGUAACUGCGAGUGAAGAGGGAAAAGCUCAAAUUUUGAAUCUGGCGGUCUUCAUGGCCGUCCGAGUUGUAAUCUAGAGAAGCGUCUUCCGCGCUGGACCGUGUACAAGUUUCCUGGAAUGGAACGUCGCAGAGGGUGAGAAUCCCGUCUUUGACACGGACUGCCAGGGUAUGUGAUGCGCUCUCGACGAGUCGAGUUGUUUGGGAAUGCAGCUCAAAUAGGGUGGUAAAUUCCAUCUAAAGCUAAAUAUAGGCGAGAGACCGAUAGCGAACAAGUACCGUGAGGGAAAGAUGAAAAGAACUUUGGAAAGAGAGUUAAACAGUACGUGAAAUUGCUGAAAGGGAAACGCUUGAUGUCAGUCGCAUCCGUCGGGGAUCAGUCUCGCAUUCUUGCUUGGCGUACUUCCUGGUGGAUGGGUCAGCAUCGGUUUUGACCGUCGGAAAAUGACUCGAGGAAUGUGGCACUCUUUCGGGAGUGUGUUAUAGACUCGGGUCGAAUACGAUGGUUGGGACCGAGGAACUCAGCACGGCCUUUUGGGUUCGGGGCUUCGGCCCACGUCAGCGUG
RNAcentral lists this ribosomal RNA (646 nucleotides) under Gomphidius subroseus. RNAcentral's name for it is "eukaryotic LSU rRNA". It matches the Rfam family "Eukaryotic large subunit ribosomal RNA", at positions 1 to 642 of the family's 3401-position model. Lineage: Eukaryota; Fungi; Basidiomycota; Agaricomycetes; Boletales; Gomphidiaceae. The record is from RNAcentral.